This 262-nucleotide long non-coding RNA is filed under the name Ananas comosus (pineapple). RNAcentral describes it as "long non-coding RNA (ACOM_LNC036161)". Lineage: Eukaryota; Viridiplantae; Streptophyta; Magnoliopsida; Poales; Bromeliaceae. The record is from RNAcentral.
CAGCAGGUAGUUGUUUUUGGUUGGAGUUCAUGUACAUACAGAUAUUUAGCUCGCCAGUGCGUGUAGUUUUGUAGAUUGGAUUUGAUGUAUGUAUAUGGAACUCAGUUUGUUUUUAGUUACUGGUUCUUCUAGCAGCUCUAUACUACUGUUUGUAGUAUUGUAUGUUAUACAAGUACAGCUAUCGCUUCGUAUACAAGAAAAAUUCCUUUGUAUACGGCGGAUUUGUCGGCGUGCCCGGGGAUCGAGUAAUCCGGGGCGUGAC